CCUACGGGCGGCAGCAGUGAGGAAUAUUGGUCAAUGGACGAGAGUCUGAACCAGCCAAGUAGCGUGAAGGAUGACUGCCCUAUGGGUUGUAAACCUCUUUUAUAUGGGAAUAAAAUGUUCCACGUGUGGGAUUUUGUAUGUAACAUUUGAAUAAGGCUCCGCCAAAUCCGUGACAGCAGCCGCGGUUAUACGGAGGAUCCGAGCGUUAUCCGGGUUUAUUGGGGUUAAAGGGAGCGUAGGGGGAUUGUUAAGUCAGUUGUGAAAGUUUGCGGCUCAACCGUAAAACUGCAGUUGAAACUGGCAGUCUUGAGUACAGUAGAGGUGGGCGGAAUUCGUGGUGUAGCGGUGAAAUGCUUAGAUAUCACGAAGAACUCCGAUUGCGAAGGCAGCUCACUGGACUGCAACUGACACUGAGGCUCGAAAGUGUGGGUAUCAAACAGGAUUAGAUACCCCUGUAGUC
Molecule: ribosomal RNA, 460 nt
Filed under: uncultured bacterium
Lineage: Bacteria
Description: partial 16S ribosomal RNA
Rfam family: Bacterial small subunit ribosomal RNA
Source: RNAcentral